AGAGUUUGAUCCUGGCUCAGAAUCAACGCUGGCGGCGUGCCUAACACAUGCAAGUCGCACGAGAAAGGGUAGCAAUACCUGAGUAAAGUGGCGCACGGGUGAGUAACACGUGAAUUAUCUACCUCCGAGUGGGGAAUAACUGAGAGAAAUCUUAGCUAAUACCGCAUAACACUUACGAGUCAAAGCAGCAAUGCGCUUGGAGAGGAGUUCGCGGCCGAUUAGUUAGUUGGCGGGGUAAUGGCCCACCAAGACGAUGAUCGGUAUCCGGCCUGAGAGGGCGCACGGACACACUGGAACUGAAACACGGUCCAGACUCCUACGGGAGGCAGCAGUGGGGAAUUUUGCGCAAAGGGGGAAACCCUGACGCAGCAACGCCGCGUGGAGGAUGAGAUAUCUUGGUAUGUAAACUCCUUUCGAUGGGGAAGAUUAAGACG
This 434-nucleotide ribosomal RNA is filed under the name uncultured soil bacterium. RNAcentral's name for it is "bacterial SSU rRNA". It matches the Rfam family "Bacterial small subunit ribosomal RNA", at positions 8 to 456 of the family's 1533-position model. The record is from RNAcentral.